RNAcentral lists this long non-coding RNA (541 nucleotides) under Homo sapiens (human). RNAcentral's name for it is "HSALNT0233352". The record is from RNAcentral. Lineage: Eukaryota; Metazoa; Chordata; Mammalia; Primates; Hominidae.
UCCUACCUUAUUGAACUGGUCAGGAUGGACAAACCAAAGUCAAAUAAUGGUUAAAAAGAAACAAAGAAAAUUAUUUCCAGAUGUUACUGUCUUCCUAGUGGCCCAAGACACAUUUAAAUUUAAUUAAGGAGUUCAGUUACAACGUAACAUUUUAAAAGAUAAUUAGCUUUCUCAUAUACUGGGAAAAACUGGUUAGAAAAUAUAGAGAUCACUCAGUGGGAUGGAAUCAAAUAGAAAUGUGUCUGGUAAAGGUUGUAUUUCAUGUUAAGUGAGAGGAAUCAGAGUAACAGCUCACAUAACGCUUCAGAACUUCUAAGUGCCAAGCAUUAUGCUGAAGACCUUUUUUUUUUUUGAGACGGAGUCUCGCUCUGUUGCCUAGGCUGGAGUUCAGUGACACAAUCUCAGCUCACUGCAAGCUCUGCCUCCCGGGUUCACGCCAUUCUUCUGCCUCAGCCUCCCGAGUAGCUGGGACUACAGGCGCCGGCCACCACGCCCGGCUAAUUUGUAUUUUUAGUAGAGACGGGAUUUCCCUGUGUUAGCU